GAUGAACGCUGGCGGCGUGCUUAACACAUGCAAGUCGAACGGACAGGCCCAAGCUUUCUUGGGUACUCGAGUGGCGAACGGGUGAGUAACACGCGGGUGAUCUGCCCCGCACUUCGGGAUAUGCCUGGGAAACUGGGUCUAAUACCGGAUAGGACAGAGGUAUGGACGCAAUUGUGGAAAGUUUUUUCGGUGUGGGAUGAGUUCGCGGCCUAUCAGCUUGUUGGUGCGGUAAUGGCCUCCCAAGGCGUCGGCGGGUAGCCGGCCGGAGGGUGUGUGAGGCCACAGUGGGACUGAGAGGAGGCCCAGACUCCUACGGGAGGCAGCAGUGGGGAAUCUUGCACAAGGGGCGCAAGCCUAGUGCAGCGACGCCGCGUGGGGGAUAACGUCCUUCGGGUUGUAAACUCCUUUCGCUAGGGACGAGGCGUUAUGUGACGGUACCUAGAGAAGAAGCACCGGCUAACUACGUG
RNAcentral lists this ribosomal RNA (467 nucleotides) under uncultured bacterium. RNAcentral describes it as "partial 16S ribosomal RNA". It matches the Rfam family "Bacterial small subunit ribosomal RNA", at positions 28 to 507 of the family's 1533-position model. The record is from RNAcentral.